This 68-nucleotide transfer RNA is filed under the name Marmota monax (woodchuck). Its description in RNAcentral is "tRNA.Ala". The record is from RNAcentral. Lineage: Eukaryota; Metazoa; Chordata; Mammalia; Rodentia; Sciuridae.
GAUGUGGCUCAGGCGGUAGCGCGCUCACUUGGCAUGCGUGCGGCCUGGGUUUGAUCCCCAGCACAACA